RNAcentral lists this ribosomal RNA (468 nucleotides) under uncultured bacterium. Its description in RNAcentral is "partial 16S ribosomal RNA". It matches the Rfam family "Bacterial small subunit ribosomal RNA", at positions 28 to 507 of the family's 1533-position model. The record is from RNAcentral.
GAUGAACGCUGGCGGCGUGCUUAACACAUGCAAGUCGAACGGAAAGGCCGAAGCUUGCUUCGGUACUCGAGUGGCGAACGGGUGAGUAACACGUGGGUGAUCUGCCCUGUACUUCGGGAUAAGCUUGGGAAACUGGGUCUAAUACCGGAUAUGACGAUCUCUUGGAUGGGGUUGUGGAAAGCUUUUGCGGUAUGGGAUGAGCUCGCGGCCUAUCAGCUUGUUGGUGGGGUAAUGGCCUACCAGGGCGUCGACGGGUAGCCGGCCUGAGAGGGUGUACGGCCACAUUGGGACUGAGAUACGGCCCAGACUCCUACGGGGGGCAGCAGUGGGGAAUAUUGCACAAUGGGCGCAAGCCUGAUGCAGCGACGCCGCGUGGGGGAUGACGGCCUUCGGGUUGUAAACUCCUUUCGCAAUCGACGAAGCCUUUUGGUGACGGUAGGUUGAGAAGAAGCACCGGCUAACUACGUG